GACGAACGCUGGCGGCGUGCUUAACACAUGCAAGUCGAACGGAAAGGCCCUGCUUUUGUGGGGUGCUCGAGUGGCGAACGGGUGAGUAACACGUGAGUAACCUGCCCUUGACUUUGGGAUAACUUCAGGAAACUGGGGCUAAUACCGGAUAGGAGCUCCUGCUGCGUGGUGGGGGUUGGAAAGUUUCGGCGGUUGGGGAUGGACUCGCGGCUUAUCAGCUUGUUGGUGGGGUAGUGGCUUACCAAGGCUUUGAAGGGUAGCCGGCCUGAGAGGGUGACCGGCCACAUUGGGACUGAGAUACGGACCAGACUCCUACGGGAGGCAGCAGUGGGGAAUAUUGCACAAUGGGCGGAAGCCUGAUGCAGCAACGCCGCGUGCGGGAUGACGGCCUUCGGGUUGUAAACCGCUUUCGCCUGUGACGAAGCGUGAGUGACGGUAAUGGGUAAAGAAGCACCGGCUAACUACGUG
This 468-nucleotide ribosomal RNA is filed under the name uncultured bacterium. Its description in RNAcentral is "partial 16S ribosomal RNA". It matches the Rfam family "Bacterial small subunit ribosomal RNA", at positions 28 to 507 of the family's 1533-position model. The record is from RNAcentral.